CCAAUAUAGGGCCUGAUAUUCCCAGGACAGAUUCUUCCUCUCCCAUCACCUGCACCAAGCAGGAGUCCAGGUCUUCCAGCAGCUGAUGGAGUCCAGAGCAAAGCUUGUCCAGGAAGGUGGAGUCCCAGGCAGCAGAGGAGUGCUCUGUGUGGAGGAGGAGGAAGGUCUGCUGGAGCAUCUCGUGGGCCUUCUGCAGCUGGCCGCCAUCCACCACCUCCCAGAGCUGUCCUUCACUCAGGAGAUUAGGGAGAUCCUCCUCAGUUGUCUCAGAGGCAUCAGGGUAUUCCUAUGAAAUUGUCCAUGGCCCAGAGGCAGGUUACUGCCCAGGGAACAGAUGAUACUACAGCUACCCACCACGUGGGCUAUCAGACAGGAUGGGCAUUGAGGAUCUUGGCAAUGCUGGUAGCCUGAAUGAGGUGUGUGUCUGUGUGAGUCUUGGCCCUUACUUUCUCUGAAGUCCUUUCUGUAAAUGUCUCUUAAAUAUAAAACAUUGUAAUUUUUCAUUUUCUGGGUGUUCUUGUAUACUCUUUAUUCUUUUUUUUUUUUUUUUGCUUUCUAUUAUGUAUGCUCUAAAUAGAUUAGAAUACAUAAACCAUUUAAUUAUUAUUUUUGCUUUUUCAAUUUAACUUUAAUUUGCCAAAAAAACUUCAGGUGUUUCAAUGUAAAUGAAUUCAAAGCUUUCAAAUGAGAAAAGUCUCUUGGUUGGAGUUAAAAGUAUGCAAAUAGUUCUCCUUGCUAAGAACAAAAUUUUGCCUCUGUUCCUGGGCUCUGGUUUUGACCUCUUUAUUUUGUUUGUUAGCCAAUCAACCUCAUUCCUCUGAACUUGUCCUCUUAAGAAAAGAUUUACCAGACCUUAGGAAAACGGUCUAUGUUUUGUUCACAAUCGUAUCAUUAUAUAGGAGUCAUAUUAAUUGCUCAAAACAUUAUUAUUAUUAUUAUUAUUAUCAUCAUCAUCAUUAUUAUGCUUUUUAGGGCUGCACCUGUGGCAUAUGGAUGUUCCCUGGCUAGGGGGCGAAUCAGAGCUGCAGCUGCCAGCCUACACAACAGCCAUAGCAGCACAGGAUCCCAGCUGUGACUGAGAUCUACAUCGUAACUUGUGGCAACACUGGAUCCUUAACCCACUGAGCAAGGCCAGGAAUGGAAUCUGCAUCCUCAUGGAUACUAGUCAGAUUCUUAACCUGCUGAUACACAACAGUAACUCCAGGACAGAAUUAUUAGUGAAUAAUAUUCUCAGAUUUUGUGUACAAAAAGUAUGACCAGGUGGCAGUGCUUCACUGGAGCCUCAGAACCAGAAAUGCAACUGGCAUUUUUCACUCUUUCUACAUUUUCCUACUAAUGGCUUUUCAGGCUAGUCCCCAGAUCCCUGGCUGAUUUCUUCACAAGUGUGUUUCAGUUCUUAUCCCAAGAUCUACAACAUAUUUAUCCUUUACCACUCCAUCUCCCCUCACCCAUCAGCUCAUGUUUCAUCUCACAUGAUGUGUAGCACACAUAGCUACACAUCUUCCAGUUGAACUUUAACUCUCUCACUCUUUAAUGUGCUCCCAGAGUCAGCUUAUCCCACUUUCAACUUUUAGCAAAACUUUCAUGAGGGGUAAUUGCUUUUGUCCCCCCAAAAAAUCAACUGCCCCAGACCCAAGAGUGUUUCUGUGAACAACCUCUCUUCUUUUCAUUGGAUGCUCAGGUGUCAAAUAUUUCCAUAGCUUCCAGAUGACACAAGCCAACAUUAUGCAUCAUGUGUUGUGUGUGUGUGAUGCAUAUAUGUGCACAGGAAGCACAUGUUUGUGUAAAGUAGCUUUUUUUCAUUUUUAGCUUAAAGGGAUUUUAUUUUAUUGUGUUGAUUUUGAUACUGAGCUCAAUUCAUUAAAGUGUUGAAUACUUACUAUGUUGUUUAGUUUGUGAGCUGGCCACCGAGAUUCAGUGAUGAUUUACUUGACAUUAGAAACUUAUAUUGAAGUAAUUAAUAGCUGUCCCUAGAUUCAGUCAGUACAAUUCUACUGAGCCUAUUUGACUCAUGAUUCUCAGCUUCACACUGAAAAUGUAGGGCAGUAAAUCCAGUGUAUAAUACUAGAAAACUUUUCCAUCUUUGCUUGACUAGUUUCAGAGUCUUUAAAACUUUAUAUGUUCAUUUUUAACCUAGUAUUUUUCUGGGCCAGGGUUGUCUUGUUAUUCUGAAUUAGCUUCUAUUUGACCUUUAUCUCUUAGUUAACAAAAUAGGGAAGUAAAAAUGGAAAUAUAAAGGGUCUGUAUCAUUAUUUUCCAUAAUUUUCAAUACACCUUUUUCUCUUUCUCCAUUCAGCUUUCUUAGAAAGCUGUCCUUAUAGUUGGAUGUACUGAAGUAAAAGGAAAACAAAUAUAAAUCUGACUAUGAUGAUGGUGAAAGAAGUAAAGUGACUGCACAGGUGAAAAAAAUGAUAAUUGGAGUACUCUUAGCACCUUUUCACCUAUUCCAGUAUGGUUUCUGCUGAUUAAUUCCAUCAAAUCAGCUUUCACUAAGGUCAGUUCUAAGUAGUGGAUGGCUUCAGUACACAGAGAAGCUUACUGGCAUUCAACAUCCUAUUAAUCUAAAGGAUGAUAAAUGAUCAUUAUAAAUAUAUCAUGAUUUUAAAUAAAUAUAAUACUUAUUAAUAUUAUUUGCCAAUACAUGAAAUCCACCCAGAGAUAAAUUAUUUUAAAAGGAGAAAACUAUGCAGAAAAAAGUCCAUAAUUCUUUCUAGUUCCCACUCCAUUUCUCUUCUGCAUUUCACAAGGCAAAUCUUUCACAUCUUUCAAUAUUUUCUAUAUAUAAUGUCAAACAUUUAUUCACCCUUCCUCCAAUGUUGUUUCUGGCAAUUAAUUCCAUCAAACCAGCUCUCACAAAGAUCACCAAUGACAUCUAUUUUCCUGAUAUACUGGACAGUUUCAAUCCACAUUUGGAAUGAAGCAAUUCUUGAGAGCAGUUUUAGUCUUUUAAAUUGGCUCUUAUUGCCAUUCCCCUUUAUCCUGUUAACUUAUGCCCAUUCUACCUCUGUUUCCUUGGUGGGUCUUUCCUCCCUUUACUCGUUGAAGAUUCCAUGAGUCAAUGUUAAGUCCUGUCUCAUUUUAGUCACUCUUUACACAUGACUACUUUUGUUCCAUGGCUUUCAGUUAAUGGAAAUGCUUGUAAAUUGCAAACUCAAAAAUCUAUUUUCCAAAGGAUAUUUGCACUUGAAUGUUGGCCACUUAAAUGUGGAGACUACUGCUUUUGAUUUUAUUUCCUGACAUGUCUUACUCUAGCUUCUGCUGAGAAAUUUUUUUUUUACUUCUUCUUAGUAUAACACUUAUGUAACUAAUAUUAAUUAUGUUUAUUGUUUUAGGUUGGUUUCUCUACAAAAAUCAAAAAUAAAAGAAAGUACAGUUGAACUUCUUACAUUCACCUCUGUUUCCUGAGGGCAGCAUAAAACCUGACUUAGAGGAAGUCGCUUUUUACUUAUAACUUGGAUAACACAGUAAUGAGUAGUUUUCUGUACUAUCCAUACUUUUUUCAGGUUACAAUCAGAUGUGGUGGAAUGGUUUUUCAGGAAAGUAAACAUUUUGACUAAUUGCUUGUUUGAUAUUUUAUUUUUUAUUGAAGUAUAACUGAUUUACAAUGUGUUGGUCUCUGGUUAUAGCUAAGUGAUUCAUUUAUAUAUAUGAAUUCAUAUAUAUAUUCUUUUUCAUGUUCUAUUUCAUUACGGUUCAUUAUAAGAUAUUGAGUACAUUUCCCUGUGCUAUAGGCAGGAAUUUGUUCUUUAUGUAUUUUAUAUACAGUAGUUUGUAUCUGCUAAUCCCAAACUCCUAAUUUAUCUCCCUCACUCAGGUUUUGCCUUUGGUAACCAUAAAUUUGUUCUCUAUGUCUGUGAAUCUGGUUCAGUAUUGUAAAUAAGUUCAUUUGUGUCAUAUUUUAAAUCCCACAUGUAAGUGAUAUCAUAUGGUAUUUGUCUUUCUCUCUCUGACUUAACUUCACUGGGUAUGAUAAUCUCUUGGUCCAUCCAAGUUUGUACAAAUGGCACUAUUUCCUUCUUUUUUAUGGAUGACUAGUAUACCAUUAUGUGUGUGUAUAGAUGUGUUUUCUAAAAUAAUAAAUAUAUACAAGAAUUUUUCUAUAAUAAAAAUGUAAUG
RNAcentral lists this long non-coding RNA (4116 nucleotides) under Sus scrofa (pig). Its description in RNAcentral is "lncRNA (ENSSSCG00000054719.1)". Lineage: Eukaryota; Metazoa; Chordata; Mammalia; Artiodactyla; Suidae. The record is from RNAcentral.